RNAcentral lists this ribosomal RNA (526 nucleotides) under uncultured bacterium. RNAcentral's name for it is "bacterial SSU rRNA". It matches the Rfam family "Bacterial small subunit ribosomal RNA", at positions 777 to 1304 of the family's 1533-position model. The record is from RNAcentral.
AAUAGAUACCCCGGUAGUCCACGCCGUAAACGAUGUCGACUUGGAGGUUGUUCCCUUGAGGAGUGGCUUCCGGAGCUAACGCGUUAAGUCGACCGCCUGGGGAGUACGGCCGCAAGGUUAAAACUCAAAUGAAUUGACGGGGGCCCGCACAAGCGGUGGAGCAUGUGGUUUAAUUCGAUGCAACGCGAAGAACCUUACCUACUCUUGACAUCCAGAGAACUUAGCAGAGAUGCUUUGGUGCCUUCGGGAACUCUGAGACAGGUGCUGCAUGGCUGUCGUCAGCUCGUGUUGUGAAAUGUUGGGUUAAGUCCCGCAACGAGCGCAACCCUUAUCCUUUGUUGCCAGCGGUUCGGCCGGGAACUCAAAGGAGACUGCCAGUGAUAAACUGGAGGAAGGUGGGGAUGACGUCAAGUCAUCAUGGCCCUUACGAGUAGGGCUACACACGUGCUACAAUGGCGUAUACAAAGAGAAGCGACCUCGCGAGAGCAAGCGGACCUCAUAAAGUCGUCGUAGUCCGGAUUGGAGU